RNAcentral lists this ribosomal RNA (465 nucleotides) under uncultured Klebsiella sp. Its description in RNAcentral is "bacterial SSU rRNA". It matches the Rfam family "Bacterial small subunit ribosomal RNA", at positions 338 to 795 of the family's 1533-position model. Lineage: Bacteria; Pseudomonadati; Pseudomonadota; Gammaproteobacteria; Enterobacterales; Enterobacteriaceae. The record is from RNAcentral.
CCUACGGGUGGCAGCAGUGGGGAAUAUUGCACAAUGGGCGCAAGCCUGAUGCAGCCAUGCCGCGUGUGUGAAGAAGGCCUUCGGGUUGUAAAGCACUUUCAGCGGGGAGGAAGGCGUUAAGGUUAAUAACCUUGGCGAUUGACGUUACCCGCAGAAGAAGCACCGGCUAACUCCGUGCCAGCAGCCGCGGUAAUACGGAGGGUGCAAGCGUUAAUCGGAAUUACUGGGCGUAAAGCGCACGCAGGCGGUCUGUCAAGUCGGAUGUGAAAUCCCCGGGCUCAACCUGGGAACUGCGUUCGAAACUGGCAGGCUAGAGUCUUGUAGAGGGGGGUAGAAUUCCAGGUGUAGCGGUGAAAUGCGUAGAGAUCUGGAGGAAUACCGGUGGCGAAGGCGGCCCCCUGGACAAAGACUGACGCUCAGGUGCGAAAGCGUGGGGAGCAAACAGGAUUAGAUACCCUUGUAGUC